Molecule: ribosomal RNA, 233 nt
Filed under: uncultured bacterium
Lineage: Bacteria
Description: partial 16S ribosomal RNA
Rfam family: Bacterial small subunit ribosomal RNA
Source: RNAcentral
UGAGCAAUCUGCCCUUCUCAUCGGAAUAAGCGUUGGAAACGACGUCUAAUGCCGAAUACGACCUCCUUUCGCAUGAUCGGAGGUGGAAAGCUCCGGCGGAGAAGGAUGAGCUCGCGGCCUAUCAGCUAGUUGGUGUGGGUAAUGGCCCACCAAGGCGACGACGGGUAGCCGGCCUGAGAGGGUGACCGGCCACACUGGGACUGAGACACGGCCCAGACCUCCUACAGGAGGCG